RNAcentral lists this ribosomal RNA (157 nucleotides) under uncultured bacterium. Its description in RNAcentral is "partial 16S ribosomal RNA". It matches the Rfam family "Bacterial small subunit ribosomal RNA", at positions 355 to 509 of the family's 1533-position model. The record is from RNAcentral.
UGAGGAAUAUUGGUCAAUGGCGGGAGCCUGAACCAGCCAAGUCGCGUGAGGGAAGACGGUCCUAUGGAUUGUAAACCUCUUUUGUCGGGGAGCAAAGAGACCACGUGUGGUCAAAAGCGAGAGUACCCGAAGAAAAAGCAUCGGCUAACUCCGUGCC